Molecule: ribosomal RNA, 465 nt
Filed under: uncultured bacterium
Lineage: Bacteria
Description: partial 16S ribosomal RNA
Rfam family: Bacterial small subunit ribosomal RNA
Source: RNAcentral
GACGAACGCUGGCGGCGUGCUUAACACAUGCAAGUCGUACGGUAAGGCCCUUUUUGGGUUGCACGCUUGGCUGACGGGUGAGUAACACGUAAGUAACUUGCCCACCACUUUCUGUUAACUCUCUUCAACUAGUUCUAAUUCUUGCUAUGUUCUCCUGCCGCCUGCUUGGUGUUGGAUAGCUCCUGGGGUUGUGGGUGGAUUCGCGGGCUAUCAGCUUGGUUGUGGGGUAGUGGGCUACCUAGGAGGCCACGGGUAGGCGGCCUGGGAGGGUGGCCGGCCACAAUGGGGAUGAGAUACGGCCCAGACGCCUACGGGGGGGAGGAGGGGGGAAAAAUGGACAAUGGGGGCGAGCCUGAAGCAGCAACGCCGCGGGCGGGAUGAAGGGCUUCGGGUUGGAAAACGGUUUCAGCAGGGACGAAGCUGUGUGUGACGGUACCUGGAGAAGAAGCACCGGCUAACUACGUG